UGAUUAGGUAUUAUAAUUAAAAGUUUGUGAUGAUCAUCGAUAUUAUGAAGUAUGCUUAGAUUAUUAUGUCAAUUAUGCUUGCUGACUACAAUGACAAUAGAAUGUUGCACUUCGUAAACCUACAUGAUUUACAUUACCAGAGAUGACCUUAUUGCAAAGUUAGUCACCCUAUUUCAGACAUAGGACGUUCACUGCUGAACAUAUGGGGAGUUCCCCCAUGAUGUCCAAAUGGACCGGUCGAUAGUGGCUUGCUAUCAGCGAAUAAACUAGCAGUCACUUAAAAAAAUGAUUUUGAGACACAGAAAUGGAUUAUUUAUUGUACGAUGAUUAACAUGUGUACGAUUGUCAUUUUUUAUUUUAUGAAUAUGCGAUUUCAAAAUAGCCCAUCCCUCAUAACCAGAAAAAUAAUGCAACCAAACAAUUUAUCUCUUCUCAGCAUCUAAUGGAUGUUAAAGUGUGACAAACUCAAGGCAUUGUACGCUGGAGUGCACUUCCAAGUGCCUGGCAGAACUGACGGCAGAUUACUAGACAAACGUGUUUUUAAAAUGCAUUGUCAUGAUUUGUCUUAGCUCAGACGGACGGCAGUAAUGAUAAAUAUGGAAAGGAACAUCACUAUUGUUUAAGGCGAAGAGUGUAGCUAUGGCAUACACAUGUUAUAGUUGUAAAUUUAUAAAAUAGUUUGUGUAGGAAUAAAUAAAUGGGUAGUGGUCUUAUUUGAAUUUUUGUUUGAUCCUUUGGUGUUUGUUCCCGUGGGUACUACUGCCCGUACCGGGAUAAAAUAUAGCCUAUGGCACUCAGGAAUAUUAUAGCUAUCUAUCAGUGAAAGAAUUUUGCAAAUCCGACCAGCGGUUCCAAAGAUUACCCCCUACAUACAAAAUUACAAAUUUUACCUCGUUAUAAAAUUAGUAUAGAUUAUACAUACAUAAUUAUGUGCAUAUAUUGUUCACAUUUAAACGGAUUUCCUACUAUGUAACGUUGUACUUUCCUAGCUCUAAGAAUAGGUUAGAAAUUAAAAAAAAAUACAAAUAAUUACAAAAAUAAAAUACAAAAUUAAAAAAACACCUAAAGUAAACUAAAAUAAAUGAAAUAAAAAAAAUUAUAAUAUAUUAAAAUUAACAUAAUUCAUAUACGGAACCCAAUAUUAAUUAUUUACACAAAGGUCCUCGUAACUAUUGCGCCUACGCAUCUCUAAACGGGUGAACUGGUUUCGCUGCGCGCGACGGUGGUGCCUCGAGUGCAUUCGGGCCGGAGACGCGGCAGACGACCAAAUUGCAUCAGACGUGACGGCUGUGUCACACGUUUUUUUUACUUGACCUUCAGUAUUGCGUACCUGUCUAAUUUCACCUUAUUUGUGCUAGACAAAUUAUAAUCGGAAAUCCCGCUGGGGAUUUAUUUCUACGUUGGAUUUCUACGUUGGAUUUUCUACGUUCGAGUUUUUACAUUCUACUUUAAACCCUCGCUACGCAACGUUCUACCUGGCGGCGAGUGAAAGACCAGACCUGAUCCUGUCUGGAACUACCUGGGUCCUGCUGGAGACCUGGAAGUGCAACCUGGGAAGGAGCUGGGCCGUCGUCGGAGCUACACCACGGUUCAGGCCAGUGUUCCCAGUGUACCUUCUACCUCGAGAUCUAUUCGUGGUUAGGGCAACAGAAGUUGGCUUAAAUAAAGUCUCAAUUUCUACCAAA
Molecule: long non-coding RNA, 1685 nt
Filed under: Helicoverpa zea (corn earworm)
Lineage: Eukaryota; Metazoa; Arthropoda; Insecta; Lepidoptera; Noctuidae
Description: uncharacterized LOC124637145
Source: RNAcentral